This 432-nucleotide ribosomal RNA is filed under the name Amanita abrupta. RNAcentral's name for it is "LSU rRNA". It matches the Rfam family "Bacterial large subunit ribosomal RNA", at positions 1719 to 2102 of the family's 2925-position model. The record is from RNAcentral. Lineage: Eukaryota; Fungi; Basidiomycota; Agaricomycetes; Agaricales; Amanitaceae.
AAAAUAUCCUCAUAAGUUAGACGAUAAGAGGUACCAUUUAUGAAUUUAAUUAUUAAGCCCUUUUUCCCUUCUACGAAGAUUUAAGGUAAAUAAUAAUUGAUAGAUAGGUGGUGGCACAGAAUCGGAGGCCCCGACUGUUUACUAAAAACACAACACAGUGCAAUCAUUAAUGUGAUAGUAUACUGUGUGAAAUUUGCCCAAUGCCAUUAAUAUAAAAGCGGUCAUAGGAAACUGUGACUAAUUGAAAAUCUGGUUAAUAGCGGUCUUAACCAUGAGGAUCCUAAGGUAGCAAAAUAAAUUGGCCAUUAAAUGUGGUCCGGUAUCAAUAAUGUAACGAUGGCCUCACUGUCUCUACAACUUGCUCAGUGAAAUUGAAUUACGCGUGCAGAUGCGCGUUACCUCCAGUGGGACGGGAAGACCCUAUGCACUUCU